AACGAACGCUGCGGCGUGCCUAACACAUGCAAGUCGAACGAGAAAUCAGGCGCUCAGGCAACUGAGUGCCGGAGAGUAAAGUGGCGCACGGGUGAGUAACGCGUGGGUAAUCUACCCUUGAAUUCGGGAUAACAGUUCGAAAGGGCUGCUAAUACCGGAUAAUAUCAUAAGCAUUUCGGUGUUAAUGAUCAAAGAUGGCCUCUACAUGUAAGCUAUUGUUUAAGGAUGAGCCCGCGUACCAUUAGCUAGUUGGUGGGGUAACGGCCUACCAAGGCUGCGAUGGUUAGCUGGUCUGAGAGGAUGAUCAGCCACACUGGAACUGACACACGGUCCAGACUCCUACGGGAGGCAGCAGUGAGGAAUUUUGCGCAAUGGGGGAAACCCUGACGCAGCAACGCCGCGUGAGUGAUGAAGGCCUUUGGGUCGUAAAACUCUGUCAAGUGGGAAGAAACUAUUGGAGGUUAAUAUCCUUUGAUACUGACGGUACCACUGAAGGAAGCACCGGCUAACUCCGUGCCAGCAGCCGCGGUAAUACGGAGGGUGCAAGCGUUAUUCGGAAUUAUUGGGCGUAAAGGGCGCGUAGGCGGCCAUGUAAGUCAGAUGUGAAAGCCCGGGGCUC
RNAcentral lists this ribosomal RNA (619 nucleotides) under uncultured bacterium. RNAcentral's name for it is "bacterial SSU rRNA". It matches the Rfam family "Bacterial small subunit ribosomal RNA", at positions 28 to 610 of the family's 1533-position model. The record is from RNAcentral.